Molecule: ribosomal RNA, 497 nt
Filed under: uncultured bacterium
Lineage: Bacteria
Description: partial 16S ribosomal RNA
Rfam family: Bacterial small subunit ribosomal RNA
Source: RNAcentral
GAUGAACGCUGGCGGCGUGCCUAAUACAUGCAAGUCGAGCGAACAGACGAGGAGCUUGCUCCUCUGACGUUAGCGGCGGACGGGUGAGUAACACGUGUAUAACCUACCUAUAAGACUGGGAUAACUUCGGGAAACCGGAGCUAAUACCGGAUAAUAUAUUGAACCGCAUGGUUCAAUAGUGAAAGACGGUUUUGCUGUCACUUAUAGAUGGAUCCGGGCCGCAUGAGCUAGUUGGUAAGGUAACGGGUUACCAAGGCAACGAUGCGUAGCCGACCUGAGAGGGGGAUAGGCCACACUGGAACUGAGACACGGUCCAGACGACUACGGGAGGCAGCAGUAGGGAAUCUUCCGCAAAGGGCGAAAGCUUGACGGAGCAACGCCGCGUGAGUGAUGAAGGUCUUCGGAUCGUAAAACUCUGUUAUUAGGGAAGAACAAAUGUGUAAGUAACUAUGCACGUAUUGACGGUAACUAAUCAGAAAGCCACGGCUAACUACGUG